AUGUGUGUGCAUCAUUUAUGAUCCAUUGAAAUCCAAUCAGGGAGUCUUAGCACUGAAGGCAUUGAAGCUUUCUGAUUCAUUCAUGGAGCUCUACCGCAGUAACAAUUUUACAGGGGAGAAGUUGAGGGAGAAAAACCUUUCAUGGGUGGAUAUCUUUGAGGAAAUACCUAUCAAAGUUUCAAACUCUGCACUUAUUAGUGCAUUUAUGACGGAGUUGGAAGCUGAUACACCUGUUAUCCAGUGUGAUUAUGAUCGUCUGCAAUUAUCAACUUGCCAUUUCUAGAGAGGAAAAUGGAAUUUCUUAUUG
Rosa rugosa (rugosa rose) is the source of this 307-nucleotide long non-coding RNA. RefSeq lists it as uncharacterized. NCBI's taxonomy places the organism in Eukaryota, Viridiplantae, Streptophyta, Magnoliopsida, Rosales, Rosaceae. The record is from RefSeq and is a predicted model, not a curated record. The transcript has 4 exons.